UUAGAGUUUGAUCCUGGCUCAGGAUGAACGCUAGCGGCAGGCCUAACACAUGCAAGUCGAGGGGUAACGAUGGCUUCGGCCAGGCGACGACCGGCGGACGGGUGAGUAUCGCGUUUGUAACCUGCCUCUAACCGGAGAAUAGCCCGAAGAAAUUCGGAUUAAUGCUCCAUAUUACUAUAAGAUGGCAUCAUUUUAUAGUGAAAGCCCCGGCGGUUAGAGAUGGGCAUGCGUGACAUUAGUUUGUUGGUGAGGUAACGGCUCACCAAGACCACGAUGUCUAGGGGGUCUGAGAGGAUGGUCCCCCACACUGGUACUGAGACACGGACCAGACUCCUACGGGAGGCAGCAGUGAGGAAUAUUGGUCAAUGGGCGGAAGCCUGAACCAGCCAUGCCGCGUGAAGGAUGACAGCGCUACGCGUUGUAAACUUCUUUUGUACGGGAAGAGACACUUCUACUUGUAGAAGCUUGACGGUACCGUACGAAUAAGCAUCGGCUAACUCCGUGCCAGCAGCCGCGGUAAUACUGAGGAUGCAAGCGUUAUCCGGAUUUAUUGGGUUUAAAGGGUACGUAAGCGGCAAAUUACUCACUGAGAAAUCCUGCAGCU
This 604-nucleotide ribosomal RNA is filed under the name uncultured organism. RNAcentral's name for it is "bacterial SSU rRNA". It matches the Rfam family "Bacterial small subunit ribosomal RNA", at positions 1 to 609 of the family's 1533-position model. The record is from RNAcentral.